GCGCGGCGCGGCCCAGCCCAGUGUGCGUACGCCCCGCGCGCCCCCUCCUCCCGCAGGCGGCAGCGCCUGCUCGUCUGAGGCUUCUAAUGUGAGGAAAAACACGGAAUGACAAGUGUGGGAAAGAGCAAGCGCUAAAUUACUGUCAGAAGAAGAAACGGAGGAGCACAGUGGUGCUCGGUGAUUUACGGGGGCAAUUAGUCACCACGCCACGGCGCUGCUGAGGGCAGCACGGCAGCAGACGCGCGUCAGGCCCGAGAGGAAGAAGAGGCUUUGCACUGCUUUUCAGACAACUUUUCAAACAACGAGAGAGGAUAUUUGAGCGCAUUAGGUUCCAUGUCUGCAUUCUGGGUGCCCAUCCUUCAAAUUAUUCAACCAACCUAAUACAGAAAGAUGUGAAAUACUGGAAGACACCUCUCUGCUGGUCCAUAGAUCAGCCAGUGUUGCUGCUGGAGUAGAAGCUUCUGACCACAACCUUGGCUGUAAGGCUGACGUUUUAUAUCACAGGGAUUUUUACUCACUGGAACUAGCGCCUGUCGUGGAGGUUAAGAAUGGCUGCAUCUGAUUCUGCUCUGCUCCUUUUUCAUUGUUUUGGAAGAACAAGAAUAGCUUUACAUUCAGAUGUUCAUUGAAGAUUUGAUAAGAGAAGAGGAAGGAGAGUAUUAUCUAAUGUUGAGUAUUUUUAAAGAGACUGCUAAGAAGUAAGCUUCGGCAAUGAGCCUGGAUUUACACAGCUGUAUUCGGAAUGGGCUUUGAAAGCACCGUGUGGUCAUUUUUUUCAAAACGGGACAACUUGGUCAUGGAGCCGUGGCCCAUCGUCCUGAAGGAGAAGGAGUAAGUCAGCGCUUCUGUAAAGGCGGCUACCCGCAGACAGGAACGGCUGCUCAGAGUAUUUUGCGAAUUUCCACUUGCAUUUGUCGGUUCCGUAUUAAACUGAAUAACCAGGCACAUGGAAGGUCUGUAAAGCACGUGAAAAUCUGUCACACGCUGUUAUACGUAUUUGCCUUAACUUGGUGGAGAGGAUACGAGAGUCCCAUCUGCCAAAUGACAAGGCUUCACUUCUUGAAGGAACCCAUCCAACUGCCGAAAGUUCACUCGGCAGUAGAGAGGUUAAGAGCGGUCGCUGCCUGGAGAGAAGUGGGUGCUGACCUUGGACCCACCUCCCCUGCCACUGACUUCUGGCACCGGGUGACUGAGGUCACAUAACAAAUCCAGACGCCAGAGCCUGAGCUGUUACCCACUCCCUGUGCAGCGAGGACCCUGGAAGCCACGUCGCACGAGGAGCUGUAGUGUCUGGCCACCACUGGGAAGAACCGGCACCGCUGGAGACAGCAGAUAAGGUGCCCCAGCCUUAGAACUGAGCACUCAGACAGCAGUGGAAGGACCAUUGUUUGUACGAGUGGAGGGAGGGUUUCAACUCUAAUCUAUGACAUUAGCGACACAGAACAAAUAGCCACAGUGUUGUUUUCAUUUCUACUUACUAUUAGAAAAAAGUCUCUUAAAAUUUUAAAAAUAAUAAUCAAAGUCUCUAAAUUUCUAUGCUUUUUCUUAAAAAGUUGACUCCUGAACGAAUGCCGGAUGUAGGCCCAUUUUCUCAAACUGUGUCCACUGUCUUCUCAAAUGGUACUUGGUCUUUGGAACUAUGUGCCUCUUCGGUCUGGGACCUGAGUCCUACCUCACAACAUUGUUCCAAGGAUGGACUAAGUUAAUGCUUGUGGAAAAGCUUUGCAGUGGCUGCAUCCCACACAAAUAUGAGGGGUCGGCGAACAGAAAGAAAAUGUAUUUUAAGUCCUCUUGAUACAGAUCAGCCCUGAAAGCUCUUGAAUCAGUCAGUCAUCUGUCUGGUAAAUACAGUUGCAUAAAUGUAACCAAAGCAUAUGUAUUUUCAUUGGCUCAACCAGUGUUUACCUAGUAGUGACUGGCACUUCUGUGUGUCAGUUACACAUGAGAUCUACAGAAAUGGUUAAUACAUGGCUCUACCCUCUAGAAGUAGCAUAAAAAUUAAGAAGUUAGAAUUUAGGGAGGAGGGCAUAGCUCAGUGGUAGAGUGUGUGCUUAGCAAGCACGAGGUCCUGGGUUCAAUCCCCAGUGCCUCCAUGAAAUAAAUCAAUAAACAAAUAAACCUAAUUACAUCCCCCAACCAAAAAAAAAAAAAAAAAAAAAAGAAUUGCAAUUUAGAAAAAUUAAUGCUAACUGAUAGAGAUAUGAUGUUAACCAAAAUAAAACCAAAUCAGUAAUAUAUUUCAAAGUUGUGAGGCUGGAUUUACUAAGGAUUUCUCCAUGGCUUACAUAAGCAUUGGUAGUUACCUGACACUGAAGAGGUCACUGUGGAAUUCAUUUGCUCUACGAAAUUUGCGUACAGCUCUACUAAAUUAUCUGCACAUCAUGAAACAAUUAUGGUGGAAAUCCUGAAACUAAGGCCCUGUGCAUUCUCACUUUGCAUUGCCUUACUUCCGUCCAUGGCUAAACAUUAUGAUCAGUAAGAGCAGGAGAAAAUAGUUGCAAAUAAAGUUUUGUAGAGGGAAGUUCCACACUGAACAAUGCCCUGAGUCAAGCCUUUGACUGGGACAGGCUGUCAUUCAGUGAAGGGAGAAGCAGCCAUGGUCCUUGGAGGUUGAAACACUGGAUCCCAAAUGAGUCUGUAUAUGAGCUCGGAGAAGAGCAGAGCAGGUGGCAGGCAGAAAUCCAGACUCCACCAUGUUGACCUGUUGCUCGCGAUCACUGAACACGUGAGAUACGUUUUACGGUUUUGCCAAAGCACAAUCAGCCUUGGUCUGCAAUUGUGAGCCGGUAGCAGGAGCAGAUGACCAUGCAGGAGGUGCCCGGGACUCAGACGCACAGGGAACAGUAGAGUGACGAGCAGACACGUACCGACGGGAAAGUGUCGGCUGGUCUCGCCUAUUUUUUGCAUGGAAACCCCCAGGGUUAGUGUAAAUGCCUUUGAAAACAACUCCAUAUGUGAAUAAAUGAAAUAAUAGGAAAGAAGGAGGAAGGAGGAAAAAAAGAAGUCAUCUUUACUGACUUUACCACUGGGCUAUGCCAAGCAGAAUUGCUGACAAAUGGUAACUACCAUUGACUGGAUCCUAACUGUGUGCAAGUUUCUGUUUUAAGUAGUUCACACUCAUCGCCUCGUUGAAACUUCGUAACAGCCUCAAGUGAGACUUACUCCUGGGUUUACAAGUGGGAGAACUUUCCUACAGCCAGGAGUGAGGUCGACGGAGAAUUCAAAACCGCAUCUUCGGGGCGGGGGUGGGGGGGUAAGGCUCAGCGGUAGAGCGCAUGUUAGCGCGCACGGGGUCCUGGGUUCAAUCCCUAGGGCCUCCUCUAAAAAUAAAUAAAUCAACCUAAUUACCCCCCCAAACUAAAUAAAAGUAAAAGGAGACAUAAAGAUUCUUUAAAAAACUAAAAGCCCUCUUGUGUAGAAGCCCACUCUUCGCGCCGCCCUGGACAGCACGGGCGCGGCCGCAGAGGGCCGUGGGGAGGCGCGGCGAGGCCCGGCCCCUGCCCUCGGGGAGCCCUCGGGGAGGAAGGCUCAUCAGGCCUGAGGCAACCCGGAGGACAACGCAGUUACUUGCAAGUGUCGUGGAGAGGACAAGCGGGCGGACGCGGGCCGGGAAGGGGCUUCUCCGAGGCGGAGCCAGAGCGCCGGGGCAGCGUGUCUCAGGAGGACAGGAGCGAGG
This is a long non-coding RNA of Camelus dromedarius (Arabian camel), 3676 nucleotides long. RefSeq lists it as uncharacterized. The transcript has 8 exons. The record is from RefSeq and is a predicted model, not a curated record. NCBI's taxonomy places the organism in Eukaryota, Metazoa, Chordata, Mammalia, Artiodactyla, Camelidae.